RNAcentral lists this long non-coding RNA (496 nucleotides) under Citrus x clementina. RNAcentral describes it as "Citrus clementina (C. clementina) long non-coding RNA (CCLE_LNC002822)". Lineage: Eukaryota; Viridiplantae; Streptophyta; Magnoliopsida; Sapindales; Rutaceae. The record is from RNAcentral.
UCUAAAUGAAAAUUGUUGUGUAAGUUCCUCCCAUAAAAACUAUAAAUUUAAUUUUUUCUUUUCCUAUAGAUCUCAGUAACAGUUUGAAAAGUACAAUCAACAAAGGUGCCGGUUUAAACAUCCUAAUUUAUGAAAUCAAUUUUAUUCAAUGGUGCGACUAAAUACAGAAUUAUAACUUAGGAACGAUUAAAUGAUCAUAUUUUGUUGAUUUUUAUCGGUUAUUUGUAAGAAUGAUACCCUUUAAAGUACUCAAGUCGGAUCCUUCAUUCAAUCUCAUUGUAUGAAAAACUUCUAGCGAUAGCAAAAUGUAGCCUCAUGGUGGACUUUACUAAGCCCAUGCCCAAGCUCAUUUAGGGGAAGUAUAACGAUCAUGUCCAUUGUAGGUUUGGCUUGGGCUUGGGCUUGGGCUUGGGCUUCACUUAACUUCUAAAUAUUUUUAAUUGCUAUGAACUUAAAAUGAGUUAAUAAUCAAUAAAUUAUUAUAUUCAAUAAUGAA